GUAUUUCAUAGGCAGGGGUUCAGUUUCUACCAUGGCCCAAAAGCAAACCAGGAGCUGUGUUACUAAGUUGGGAUCUCUAAAAAGCAGACUUUGAGAUAGACUUAGAGUGUAGGGUGUUUCCUAAGGAGUUCUUUGGUAUUAAUACCUGUAGGACUGAGGUGAUGGAGGCAAGAUUCAGGAGACAGAGAAGUGGGGAGCUCUGAAGUUAAAAUGGCCCUUCAGAGUUGUUCGUUUUAGAUUGCAUUAGCCAGGUCUUUCUACUUCCACUUUGACCAGUUAUUGGAUGUGGCUUACCGAAGGAUGGGUGUGACAGCUGAAGGAUAGCCACUAUGGCUCCUGGCACCCCAAACAAGUCCUUCUUUGGAGGGGAAGCUGGGUGGUGUAUCUCCAUGUACUUACAGUCCACCUGCUGUGCCACUAAGAUCCUCUUCAUGUUUAUUCGGGAGGUAACCCCUUGAUGGUUCUGAGGGGCCUCUUCCUGGGUGGAAACUUAGAAGAGAAAGUUUAAUGCAAUGACCUACCGCCCCUACUACUGAAACAGGUUUCAGGGUUAAAACUAAUCAUCAUUAUCUCCCUCUGUACUGCCCAUUUUAGGUUUCUUCUAACCCUCCAUUACCAUGCCUGCUGGUGUCACUAGCUUACCUGGUCGUGUAAUCCAGACCUUCAUCCCUGGUCAUCUGAGCCCUGGUCAUCAUGUCCUUCUCAAUCUGGAAUUGUUGCAUACAUUCAAUUACCAAAGUAACUAGGCAAAUACGUACCAUGAGGCACUCAAGUGGGUCCACUGGGUGCCAAAUGUAUAUUUCCUUGCCCCCAAUGUGUAAUAGAAGCCCUAUUUUCUCUGUCUGAUCAGAGUCAAGUUGGUCACUUCUCUUCUUGUCUUGAACCCUGGUCACAUGGAACCCAAAGAUUGAGGCUACUGCUUUAGCUUAUAUUAUGUUGGGGAUCUUGCUAUGUUCCCUGGUGGAAUUUUUUCCCUUUAGAGACAAAGGCUUUUAAUUCUGCAAAGCCCAGAUUUCAGAAAUGGGAAGCACAAAUUCCCCAACUGGGUUGUUGGGAGCAAUGGUAACUGAAGCCAUUUCUGCCAUAUAAACAGGUUAGUGUUGGUCUGAAUUGCUGGAAGGUUAGACAUUUGGCUAUAGAAGCAACUAGAUAAGCCUUGUUAAGUAAGGCAUAGACACGUUCAUCUUUGCCACUGUGGCCUCUUUGUUCAUGUGUCCAUCAUGCUAGUAGUGUUCUGGCUAAUGAAGAGGCUGUCUAAAGUUAAGUGGAGGGGCACCUGGGUGGCUCAGCUGAUUAAGCGGCUACCUUCAGCUCAGGUCAUAAUCUCAGAGUCCUGGGAGCAAGCCCACAGUAGGGCUCCUUGCUCUAUUGGGAGUCUGCUUCUCCAUCUCCAUCUGUGCUCUCUCUCACUCUCACUCUUGCUCUCUUUCAAGUAAAUAAACAAAAUCUUUGAACAAUAAAGUGAAAUGGAUAUAUAAUUUUGUCUAUUUCAGUGUUUAGUGACUCUUCUUGGUGAGAUGCCCUUUGGUGGUCAUUAAGUUAGUGCAUAUAGAUUUCCACACGUUAUGGUCACUCUCAUAUAUCUAUCAACGUGCCUCUAACCCAGAGCUCCUUACAUUCAGCCUUCCAACUUUUCAGGAUCCCAAAAUUUUGUCCUUAACACCUUUAUUCGAUGAAAAGAAACCAGAGCUUUUUGUAAGGUAGUUGAAAACAUGUCUGGAUCAGCAAUAAAAAAGAAUAAUUUUGUGAUCUCUUGCCAUGGCCAGAAGCAAGGAUGCUUUCAAUAUAAUGGGUUGGGUUAAAAUUCCAAAGAGGUCAGUGUAAGGAGUUUCCUAUCGGCCAAGUUGUGAUAAUUUAGUUAGUAAAAAUGGACCAAAGAUGUAUACUUGAUUAAAACAAAUUAAGUCCAUAAAUACCAUGGGUAUAUAUGGAUACUGAAAAAAAAAUGAUUUUCUCUUCAAAUAGUUAGCAUUACACUCAGUUUGAUUUUUAGUUUAUUGAUCCUUUGGCCAAUACUUCACCAUACUGAUUACUGCAACUAUACAAGACAUCUUGCAAAUAUGUAUGUUUACUUGUCACUUGCCAAUUCCUACAAAAAAAUCUGGUUGGAUUUUGAUUGGAAUUGCAUCUCUGUAGAGAUCAAUUUGGUCGUAAUAGACAUCUCAAUAAUUUGGGGUCUUCCAAUCUAUGAAUGUGGCAUAUUUCUCCACUUAUUUAAAUCUUCUCAACUUCUCUUUGCAAUGUUUUAUAAUUUUCAACGUAGAAGUCUUACAUAUAUUUGGUUAAAUUUAUUCCUAUUUACUUUUUGAUGCUAUUGCAAAUUAUAGUUUUUUAAUUUUAUUUUUCAUUUGUUGCAGUUAUCUGGAAAUACAAUGGAUUUUUAUAAAUCAACCUUAGAUCCUCAACCUUGCUAAAUCUACUCAUUAGUCCCAGUAGUUUUCUUGUAGGUUCUUUAGGAUUUUCAACAUAUGCAAUUAUGUCAUCUGUAAAUAAAGACAAAUAUUUUAUGUAUCUGUGUCUUUUAUUUACUUUUCCUGCAUACAUUGACUAGACCCUUCUUUAUAAUGUUGAACAGAACAGUGAUAACUUUCUGGCUUUGUCUCUAGUAUUAUGGGGAAGCAUUCAAUAUUUCAUCACUAAGUAUUAUGUUAGUAGGAUUUUUAUAGAUAUUCUUUACCACAAUGAGGAUGUUCCUAUUCUCUAGAGUGUCGAAAAUUUUCACAAAGUGCAUUCUGAAUUUUUCAAAGACUUU
RNAcentral lists this long non-coding RNA (2752 nucleotides) under Canis lupus familiaris (dog). RNAcentral describes it as "lncRNA (ENSCAFG00805005495.1, ENSCAFG00845003117.1)". The record is from RNAcentral. Lineage: Eukaryota; Metazoa; Chordata; Mammalia; Carnivora; Canidae.